This 463-nucleotide ribosomal RNA is filed under the name uncultured bacterium. RNAcentral's name for it is "partial 16S ribosomal RNA". It matches the Rfam family "Bacterial small subunit ribosomal RNA", at positions 28 to 507 of the family's 1533-position model. The record is from RNAcentral.
GAUGAACGCUGACAGAAUGCUUAACACAUGCAAGUCUUUGGCGAAGCUGUGCUUGCACAGCCUAGCCAAGGCGGACGGGUGAGUAACGCGUAAGGAACUUGCCCUGCAGUCAGGGAUAACAGACGGAAACGACUGAUAAGACCUGGUAAAGUCAGGCGGACUCACGUCCAGCCUGAUGAAAAGAGAUGCUGCAGGAGAGCCUUGCGUCCUAUUAGCUUGUUGGUGGGGUAACGGCCCACCAAGGCGAUGAUAGGUAGCCGGCCUGAGAGGGUGGACGGCCACAAGGGGACUGAGAUACGGCCCUUACUCCUACGGGAGGCAGCAGUGGGGAAUAUUGGACAAUGGGGGCAACCCUGAUCCAGCAAUUCUGUGUGCACGAUGAAGGUUUUCGGAUUGUAAAGUGCUUUCAGCAGGGAAGAAAAAAAUGACGGUACCUGCAGAAGAAGCGACGGCUAAAUACGUG